Papaver somniferum (opium poppy) is the source of this 1856-nucleotide long non-coding RNA. RefSeq lists it as uncharacterized. The record is from RefSeq and is a predicted model, not a curated record. The transcript has 7 exons. Lineage: Eukaryota; Viridiplantae; Streptophyta; Magnoliopsida; Ranunculales; Papaveraceae.
GUCACUUGGUCAUAUACUCAUACACAUGACUCGAACCACUUCAUCUCUUUCAACUUAAACCACUUCUCUCUUUCCAUUUUCCUCAUCUCUACAGAAGCGAAGUAAAGUUUGGGUUUCAGUUUGAGGGUUUGAAGGUUUCGAUGUAAAGCUGAAGAUAAGAAAAUUUAGGGUUUCAGGAUGCAAGUGAAGUUUGGGUUUCAGUUUGAAGGUUUGACGGUUUAGAUCUGAAGCUGAAGAUCUAUGCUCUAACCAAAUAUAAUCUCUCGACAGGAAUUCUAUAUCAAAUCAAUUCCUACAAUCAGAAUCUUAAACACAGGUGGAACAUCGUUGCAAAAUUUGAUUGAGACCUCAAGCGAAGAAUUUGCAAGGGUGGUUUAUCUGAGCAAAACGAUGUUUACAAGCUUUGAAUACAAAAAACAAUGUGCACGAGACAGUAAUAACUUGUGGGAAAUUGAUUGAUUAGUGUUGUUCAUAUCCUAAAUCAGGAGCAAUUACAAUAACCAACUGAGAAAACAGAAGCUCGGAGAGGGACUGAUGAGAAGGUAAAAGAGGGUAAAGAACAGGUGAUCAGAGCCAAUGCAUACUUGAGUUUUGCACCACCAGAUAGCAACUCCACUUGGUAAAAGAGGUAAACUUGAGGAUAAAAGAUCUAGAGCGGUUGCCGGGGGAUGCGACAAAGGAUGCAAAUUUACCGAUAAGGUAUACCUCAAUUAAAUAGUUAAAUUCUCCUUUCCCUUUGAAAACUAAGUGCAGAACAUUGAAGUUAAGCUGACUAGUUGUGGGGAAAAGGUGAUAGCAUGAAUAAAAUACAGUGUAGUGCUUUGCAGAGGAUGAAAUUAAUAGAAGCUACUCUGGGUAAAGCCAGGCGUGUUUACCACGAUUGCUCUUCCAUGGCAACCAAGAUAUGAGCUAUGACGUACAAUACUGAAGAACAAAUUCGGGAUCAAAAGAAUCAAGCUAUAUAUCUUGUUGAGCUUGCUUCCAGUACUACAUCGAAAGGUCUUCGUUUCCUUUCCAUGAGGCUCACUGAUAGUUAUUUCUCAUUGCAUCCUGAAAAGCGGGAGUUCCUAAACCAACACAAAUUAAAUGACCCCGACCUCUAUCACUUUUGUUGUCUUUUCCGACAACAUUCUUUCAAGUGCAGUGGUUGUUAAUUCUGCCAUCUUUUCUUCUCCGGUUUGAUGAAGGAUCUGUGGGAUGGAUGGAAUGUGAUGAUGUUUGAUACUGCUUCAUUCUUGGAAGAGAUGUCUCUUGCAAGAGCAAUGGGCAUUGAAGUUACUGCAUAGCUUCUGCGGUAUUGGAUUCCACCAGCUUCACUAAUUCUGCUUCAAAUGUGAAGGCAACUACUGAUUAUGUGAGUCCCCUUUCUGUUGGUUUAUUAUUGUCUCAUAUACCCUAGCAAUAAAACUUAGGAAUCAUGCAAUAGAAUAAAACUUAGGGAUUGUCUUUUAAGUUCUGAACCAAUUCGAAUGUAGAAAGAACAAAAGUUAUUGUUGAUUAAGGUAGUCAUUGUUGAAUAUGUGAUUGAAUCUAUGAGAUGGAUGGAAUGAAAGAUUUGCAGGUUAUUUUGAAUUCCGGUGUAUUUCCGGCUGAAUGUGUGCUGAGGGAAUAUUUGACUGGCAGUAAUUUUUUUUUGAUGUCACUAAAAAAUUCAUAACGGUUGCAAACUGUUUCAACCUAUCCUGUAGUAACAACUUUAAGCUGUUUCAAAAUGAUACGUAGAACGGGUGAGCUCUGUUACGACGUCAUUGUUACAAACUUUUGUAACAGGGUUAAGAUGUUACGAAAUUCCACUUAGUAACAGCCGGCAUCUAUUACAACAACUGUGACAAUCCAAAAUUCGUAACAGCUACAGC